CAGGGAAUCUUGGGCAAUGGGCGAAAGCCUGACCCAGCGACGCCGCGUGGGUGAUGAAGGCCUUCGGGUCGUAAAGCCCUUUUCCAAGGGAUGAAAGGUCAUAUCAUGAAUAAGGAUAUGAUCUUGACAGUACCUUGGGAAUAAGCUCCAGCCAACUACGUGCCAGCAGCUGCGGUAAUACGUAGGGAGCGAGCGUUGUCCGGAAUCACUGGGUGUAAAGGGUGUGCAGGCGGUUUAACAAGUCAAAUG
This 249-nucleotide ribosomal RNA is filed under the name uncultured Caldisericota bacterium. Its description in RNAcentral is "uncultured Caldiserica bacterium partial 16S ribosomal RNA". It matches the Rfam family "Bacterial small subunit ribosomal RNA", at positions 355 to 594 of the family's 1533-position model. The record is from RNAcentral. Lineage: Bacteria; Pseudomonadati; Caldisericota.